AUGCUUGUUUGCCCACCUCAGGUCUCCGCACCGGAGCGGAGCCGUUGUAGAGCGGGUACCAGUAACCCCCAAAUUCCACUACCUCCGCUCCGCUCCCGCCUUCCGCAGCCGCUCGCUUCCGAACUCAAUUUUUACUGGUACCCCCUCUACAACGGCUCCGCUCCGGUGCGGAGACCUGAGGUGGGCAAACAAGCAUGUGCGGGAUUUUUGAGAUCUUGCGAUACAGUCCGAGCAAUAAACGCGGAAGUUAGAUCCAAACACCCGUUGUGUGGGAGAAGCAUCGGCAUGAACUGUUUAAUCUGCCCAUCAUUUGUGUUGAGAGAUCAGCAGUGUUUGGAUCAACAAAGUGUGACUACUUUGAAAGUAGAAACUGUAUUUAUGGCUUACUUUUGUGCAUUUAAACUUCAGCUGCCAUUGAUAGUUGUUAAAAGUUGUUAAACCUGUGCAUAUGAAACAAAAAACGCCUUUUGUUUAUCGAUUUAUUGUGAAAAACGGAAAUUGUGCUUGCUUCUUUUCCUGUUGGGCCGUUGAGAUUUCUGUCCAUUUACUGCGGAGGUGCUCCGGCGUCCGGCAAAAAUAGGAUCGAUUCUAUUUUUGCCGGAUGCCGGAACAGAGGGCAGCGCACGGCGCCGCACUGCCGGAGCACGGCCGUAGUAGUGGAAUUGCUCUGAUUGACUACAACGGGACCGAUUUUGCUCCGGCGUUCGUGUCGGAGCGGAGCGGAGGUAGUGGAAUUUGGGGGUUAGAGAUAGGGUGAGAAGCUCUGUCUUCCGAGAGGGGCUCUGAGUAGGUCCGCUACUCCUCCAUGUUGAGAGGAGCCAGUUGAGGAGGCUCCGGCAUCUGGUCAGGAAGCCUCCUGGACGCUUCCCUGAUGAGAUUUUCCAGGCAAGUCCUACUGCGAGGUGACCCAAGGAAAGACCCAGGACACGCUGGAGGGACUUUGUAUCUCCGCUUGCCACGGAAAGCCUUGGGAAUCUCCCAGAGGGGCUGGCCUGAGUAGCAGGGGAGAAGGAAGUCUGGGCCUGUCUGCUUAGGUUGCUGCCCCUGCAACCCAACUCCAGACAAGCGACUAAAAAUGGAUGGAUGGAAGUUUUGCAUGAAAAUUGUACACUGGGUAAGAGUAAAGGCCGCCUGAUAUAUCUGGCCGAUAUGUUCAAUUAUUUUCUAUAUCGGCCACCGGCUGAAAUUAUUGUAAAAACCCGACAAAAAUAAUAAUAAUCAUCAGGCACAUCUGUGGCCAACUGCCGCCACUACUAAACUGAAGAAAGGACCCGAAGGACCCCAACACGCUGUUUUUUUAAUGUUUUGAGUUUGUUUUGUAUUUGAAGUUCAAUAAAUAUUAAGAGAUGUAAUGACUUAUUUAAUUUAUAUUGCACACAGUGAGUAUUCAGUUGUCUUUCACAAUCAAUGUGCUGCUAAAACGUAUACAUAUCAGCCUUAAUAAUCAGAUUUAGAUACCGUCCAUCUGCAAUAAACAUCGUUAAAAAUCGGAAUCGCAUCUGCCCUUAAAAAACCCAUACUGGUUGGCCUCUAGGUAAGAGCAAGAAAAAAGAAGGGGAUUGUAACAUCUGAGGUCAUAGGUUAGGUUAGGUUAGAGGUAAGGCAUCAAUGCCUUUUAUGUUUUGUUGAUUUACGUGAAAAUUCAAAGGUAGCGAUUUUGGACGUUUUUUACUUAAACUAUUCUUCUAAAUUUCCAUUCUAGGAUUCCUAAAACCCCAUUUCCAUGGCUGGAACAUUAACAACUUUUUGACCCAGGUUAAACUUUAAAAUAAUGAACUCCAACUUGUGCUUCAGAGUAAAAGUAUUUCACAUUCAACCACCUGUUCCAAAGUGGACUUUUGAGUCUUCGUAACAGCUGUAAAGAAAUAAAGUUUUGUAAACUUUGACGACCUCUGAACAAUCGAUUUGAAAGGAAAAUGCCUUUUUAGCUAAAAACUGUGUAAAGAGACAAGAACAGGAUAUUCUUUCAUGCAUAACAUGUGUCCCUGAUAUAAAUCCUCAUUUAUUUUUUCCUUGUUGUUUGUGACAAGUUUCGUCACUUGAGGGGAAAUUAAAGGUGGGAGGAAACAAUGAGGUAGUCUCAGGGGCUUUUGUAGGAGGUGGAACAACAGAUGGUUUCUUUUUUCUCGUUUUUUAAUAGAAUUCAUAAAUGAUCCACUGCAUCGUCAUUCCUGUUCAUCUGUUGCGUUAAAUACUCUGCAAUGUUGUGGCUCAAAGGAAAUCAAGUCCACUGCUUGAAGCCUGAAAGUGCCUGCUUCCAUUCAGAGAAGAACUGCAUUUUAGAAGACUAAUGUGACCAAUAAUGCUCAAACACGAGGGUUUUCUUCCCCCUUGUUUGACUUGCUUUCACUGACGGAGAAUGAUAUUGUACUGCAGAGAGCAGAUCAGGUGUUUGUGCAGCAGUCGCAUGCUAAUUCGAAGCCAUUGCCCUUCCCACAGGGCACCAGAUCCAAAUGUCAACAUCACCCUUGCCAAAUUAGAGACGUGUUUUAUUUACGAACACAUGGAGACAUGGGAGCAUCCGAGGGGUGAAUGUAUCGGUCCAGCUCUUUACAUAAUAUGAAAUACUAUGUGAGAAAAAAGCCUGAGGCAGAUUUCUCCUGAAAAAGACUAAGAAGAAAUCCAUUAAAGAAGGUGUAAAUGUGUUGGUCCCGUAGGACCAAGCUGACCAUUAAAAUUGUUAAUCUGCUGGAUUUUGUUAUAAUGUGAUGGCUCUCUUUAGGGAAAAGGCUGGGAUGUUAAACACAAAUUCAAUGAAAGAUGGAAAUGUGACUUUAGGAGUAGACGAGAUGUCACGGUUGAUGGGCCUCUUGUGUGAUGGUCUGAGACAAUGCUUCUCAGAUUAAAAAUGGUGGAAAAUGUGUUCUAGGUUGAAACUGAAUCCUGAAGCAGAGGAGUUCAAGUAUCUUUGUCUAUGAUGGGGUGAGUGGUCGACCAGGGCUUCAAUCCUGGUUUUUCAUAGUAGUGAAUCAAAGGCAAAGCUCUAGAUGAUGAAUGAUAAAUGACCCACACCUUUCAGAGUCAGAAGACUCCUAAGUGCUUUACACUACAGUGUAUCAUUCAUCUAUCCAUUCACACACUGAUGGUGAUGAGCUACAAUGUAGCCACAGCCACCCUGGGGCGCCCCUCAUAGCAAGGGGAAGGAAU
Long non-coding RNA from Nothobranchius furzeri (turquoise killifish), 3147 nucleotides. The record is from Ensembl. Lineage: Eukaryota; Metazoa; Chordata; Actinopteri; Cyprinodontiformes; Nothobranchiidae.